This 500-nucleotide ribosomal RNA is filed under the name uncultured bacterium. Its description in RNAcentral is "partial 16S ribosomal RNA". It matches the Rfam family "Bacterial small subunit ribosomal RNA", at positions 30 to 523 of the family's 1533-position model. The record is from RNAcentral.
AUUGAACGCUGGCGGCAUGCCUUACACAUGCAAGUCGAACGGCAGCACGGGAGUAAUCCUGGUGGCGAGUGGCGAACGGGUGAGUAAUAUAUCGGAACGUGCCCAGUCGUGGGGGAUAACGCAGCGAAAGCUGUGCUAAUACCGCAUACGAUCUCUGGAUGAAAGCGGGGGACCGUAAGGCCUCGCGCGAUUGGAGCGGCCGAUAUCAGAUUAGCUAGUUGGUGGGGUAAAGGCCCACCAAGGCGACGAUCUGUAGCUGGUCUGAGAGGACGACCAGCCACACUGGAACUGAGACACGGUACAGACUCCUACGGGAGGCAGCAGUGGGGAAUUUUGGACAAUGGGCGCAAGCCUGAUUCAGCAAUGCCGCGUGCAGGAUGAAGGCCUUCGGGUUGUAAACUGCUUUUGUACGGAACGAAACGGCGAGCUCUAAUAAAGUUUGCUAAUGACGGUACCGUAAGAAUAAGCACCGGCUAACUCUGUGCCAGCCGCCGCCGUAA